Molecule: long non-coding RNA, 430 nt
Organism: Astatotilapia calliptera (eastern happy)
Lineage: Eukaryota; Metazoa; Chordata; Actinopteri; Cichliformes; Cichlidae
Source: Ensembl
UGAGCUGGAAGAAGAGCACCCACGCACUGCUAGUACACUGCCACCUACUGUGACAGCACAAAAGAGAAGUGCAGCCUGACUAAUUCACAGAAACAAUGUGAAAAACUCCGUAAUGAUGGCUUUUCACUCUGUCCCCCACCCCCCUCGCCAUCGCUGUGCUUGGUGCUGAGUGAAGGCAGCAGCUGCCAAGUCGAAGUGCCUGCUACCUGAACUGCAAAGAGAAAGCCGAGCCAGUAUUUAGUGUGUAUGUAUGUGAGAGAGUACCAGGGGAAGCCAGCUGCCUCUGUGCUGGGCAACAUGCCAGAGUGACGAGGAAGAGGCAGAAUCUGACCUCCUGACCUCCAAGCAGCAUCCUCUGACCGAGUUCUCAGCCUUAUUCCACCUUUAUUUUAUUUGUUUUAAUUAUUCACAAUGUACAGAUUUACCAGGG